This 479-nucleotide ribosomal RNA is filed under the name uncultured Sphingobacteriales bacterium. RNAcentral describes it as "bacterial SSU rRNA". It matches the Rfam family "Bacterial small subunit ribosomal RNA", at positions 897 to 1382 of the family's 1533-position model. Lineage: Bacteria; Pseudomonadati; Bacteroidota; Sphingobacteriia; Sphingobacteriales. The record is from RNAcentral.
AAACUCAAAUGAAUUGACGGGGCCGCACAAGCGGAGGAACAUGUGGUUUAAUUCGAUGAUACGCGAGGAACCUUACCUGGGCUUAAAUGGGAGUGACAGCUGUCGAAAGAUGGUUUUCUUCGGACACUCUUCAAGGUGCUGCAUGGUUGUCGUCAGCUCGUGCCGUGAGGUGUCGGGUUAAGUCCCAUAACGAGCGCAACCCUUACCGUUAGUUACCAUCAGGUUAAGCUGGGGACUCUAGCGGGACUGCCACCGUAAGGUGAGAGGAAGUGGGGAUGACGUCGAAUCAGCACGGCCCUUAUGUCCAGGGCUACACACGUGUUACAAUGGCCAGUACAAAGGGCAGCUACCGGGUGACCGGAUGCUAAUCUCUAAAGCUGGUCUCAGUUCGGAUCGAAGUCUGCAACCCGACUUCGUGAAGCUGGAUUCGCUAGUAAUCGCGCAUCAGCCAUGGCGCGGUGAAUACGUUCCCGGGCCUU